Lolium rigidum is the source of this 543-nucleotide long non-coding RNA. RefSeq lists it as uncharacterized. The record is from RefSeq and is a predicted model, not a curated record. Lineage: Eukaryota; Viridiplantae; Streptophyta; Magnoliopsida; Poales; Poaceae. The transcript has 4 exons.
UAUGAGAGUCAUACCCUUCUGUAACCACGAUGGAGCUUUAUUAGCUGUUGAGCUGGAUACUUUUCUAAAAUUAAGGAUGUGAAAUUAAGCUUUUAUGGAAAACGGUGUUCUGGUUCAUAUGAAUUGCAAAAAUUGCUAGGUGACACUAUUUAUUUAUUCUUUGCUCUGUAAAAAUCAUUGGUAUGAGCGAGCUAAAGUCACAACUUGCAUGCUCUAUCACUUUUAACAGAGUUGAUGACUUGCAAAAGCCUAUUGAGAAGCCAAUGAACAUUAAUUGGGAAAGCUAUGCAAGAUGUGCCGUUUAUGCCUUGCAAAUUAGUGGAUAUGAUUUCAGAUAGGUUUGGGUGAUCUGAUAAUGCCCAUUUGGUCCAUCUGCAACUAAAUGGGCUAAAUGGUCCCAUUAAAGCUGUUUCCAAGGAAGUAGAAUGGAUUGACUAGCUUUUCUAUACUUAUGCCGAUAGCUCAUCUGGCAUGAUUGACCUAGAAGGCAUCGAAACUCUUUCCUCUCAUCUUGAUUUCCCCCAUACCAAGGCUCGGAUUCUG